CAAUAGCGUAUAUUGAAGUUGUUGCAGUUAAAAAGCUCGUAGUUGGAUAUCUGACCUUGCAUAGACGGCCCGCCCUUGUGGUUGUGUGCUGGAGUGCUGGUCUCUUUUUCGGUUGAUGGCGAUGCAGUUUACCCUGCGUCGUGGUUAUCCGGAUCGUUUACUUUGAAAAAAUUGGAGUGUUCAAAGCAGGCUUAUGCCGUGAACAGUUUAGCAUGGAAUAAUACUAUAGGACAGUCGUGUCUUAUUUUGUUGGUUCUAAGACCGUUGUAAUGAUUGAUAGGGACAGUUGGGGGUGCUGCUAUUCCGCGGCCAGAGGUGAAAUUCUCAGAUUCCCGGAAGAGCAACUUAUGCGAAAGCAUUCACCAAGGAUGUCUUCUCUGA
This 381-nucleotide ribosomal RNA is filed under the name uncultured eukaryote. RNAcentral's name for it is "partial 18S ribosomal RNA". It matches the Rfam family "Eukaryotic small subunit ribosomal RNA", at positions 592 to 976 of the family's 1831-position model. The record is from RNAcentral.